Molecule: ribosomal RNA, 878 nt
Filed under: uncultured bacterium
Lineage: Bacteria
Description: bacterial SSU rRNA
Rfam family: Bacterial small subunit ribosomal RNA
Source: RNAcentral
UGCAGUCGAGCGAGUCUGCCUUGAAGAUCGGAGUGCUUGCACUCUGUGAAACAAGAUACAGGCUAGCGGCGGACGGGUGAGUAACACGUGGGUAACCUGCCCAAGAGAUCGGGAUAACACCUGGAAACAGAUGCUAAUACCGGAUAACAACAGAUGAUGCCUAUCAACUGUUUAAAAGAUGGUUCUGCUAUCACUCUUGGAUGGACCUGCGGUGCAUUAGCUAGUUGGUAGGGUAACGGCCUACCAAGGCGAUGAUGCAUAGCCGAGUUGAGAGACUGAUCGGCCACAUUGGGACUGAGACACGGCCCAAACUCCUACGGGAGGCAGCAGUAGGGAAUCUUCCACAAUGGACGCAAGUCUGAUGGAGCAACGCCGCGUGAGUGAAGAAGGGUUUCGGCUCGUAAAGCUCUGUUGUUGGUGAAGAAGGACAGGGGUAGUAACUGACCUUUGUUUGACGGUAAUCAAUUAGAAAGUCACGGCUAACUACGUGCCAGCAGCCGCGGUAAUACGUAGGUGGCAAGCGUUGUCCGGAUUUAUUGGGCGUAAAGCGAGUGCAGGCGGCUCGAUAAGUCUGAUGUGAAAGCCUUCGGCUCAACCGGAGAAUUGCAUCAGAAACUGUCGAGCUUGAGUACAGAAGAGGAGAGUGGAACUCCAUGUGUAGCGGUGAAAUGCGUAGAUAUAUGGAAGAACACCGGUGGCGAAGGCGGCUCUCUGGUCUGUUACUGACGCUGAGGCUCGAAAGCAUGGGUAGCGAACAGGAUUAGAUACCCUGGUAGUCCAUGCCGUAAACGAUGAGUGCUAAGUGUUGGGAGGUUUCCGCCUCUCAGUGCUGCAGCUAACGCAUUAAGCACUCCGCCUGGGGAGUACGACCGCAAGGU